This 253-nucleotide ribosomal RNA is filed under the name uncultured bacterium. RNAcentral describes it as "partial 16S ribosomal RNA". It matches the Rfam family "Bacterial small subunit ribosomal RNA", at positions 524 to 776 of the family's 1533-position model. The record is from RNAcentral.
UACAGAGGUCUCAAGCGUUGUUCGGAUUCAUUGGGCGUAAAGGGCGCGUAGGCGGCUUUGCAAGUGACGGGUGAAAUCCCUCGGCUUAACCGAGGAACUGCCUGUCAGACUGCAUGGCUUGAGACCAGGAGAGGUGAGUGGAAUUCCCAGUGUAGCGGUGAAAUGCGUAGAUAUUGGGAGGAACACCAGUGGCGAAGGCGGCUCACUGGACUGGUACUGACGCUGAGGCGCGAAAGCGUGGGGAGCAAACAGG